RNAcentral lists this ribosomal RNA (169 nucleotides) under uncultured bacterium. RNAcentral describes it as "partial 16S ribosomal RNA". It matches the Rfam family "Bacterial small subunit ribosomal RNA", at positions 1334 to 1500 of the family's 1533-position model. The record is from RNAcentral.
GCUAGUAAUCGCGAAUCAGCAUGUCGCGGUGAAUACGUUCCCGGGUCUUGUACACACCGCCCGUCACACCAUGGGAGUCAGUAACGCCCGAAGCCGGUGACCCAACCAAGAAUGGAGGGAGCCGUCGAAGGUGGGACCGAUAACUGGGGUGAAGUCGUAACAAGGUAAC